Molecule: small nucleolar RNA, 129 nt
Filed under: Octodon degus (degu)
Lineage: Eukaryota; Metazoa; Chordata; Mammalia; Rodentia; Octodontidae
Description: Small nucleolar RNA SNORA42/SNORA80 family (ENSODEG00000024833.1)
Source: RNAcentral
GCAUAGGCUUGGUUUUAUGGCAGGUCCGUCUCUGGAUUGCACAGUGUUCUAUGCCAGAGCAGACUAGCUGCAGAUCAUUAGCUGGCCUCUGCACCUGUAGGCUACUGGCCCUGAGGCGGCACCAUUCAG